This 350-nucleotide long non-coding RNA is filed under the name Homo sapiens (human). RNAcentral's name for it is "non-protein coding lnc-ACTR2-3:10". Lineage: Eukaryota; Metazoa; Chordata; Mammalia; Primates; Hominidae. The record is from RNAcentral.
UGAAUUCACAAUUGAAGAGGCUUAUGUCAGUCCCUUAGAAAGAAUUUGAGGACUCCUCGGAAAAUUGCUGAGUUGAGUAAAUAUUUCCUUCCAUAAAGUCUUGAGGAACACAUGGAAUCUAGUGAGGCAUAGAGAAGCUCGGAUGUGCCUGGUUAUCUCCUCACCCAGCCUGAUCUCAGCCUCAUGACUUGGCAUUCCUUUCCUCGGCCACUUCCUUGGCUGGCUUCAGCCUCGACCAGAACCUGCCUCCAUCUGUUACUCAGGUUUAUUGAGACUCAUGGCUCACAAGCCUGGCUGCCUCCCCUGGCUGCGUGCCUCAUCAAGCCCAGCAGGAGCCAGGGAGACCAGCG